RNAcentral lists this ribosomal RNA (432 nucleotides) under Clostridioides difficile. RNAcentral's name for it is "partial 23S ribosomal RNA". It matches the Rfam family "Bacterial large subunit ribosomal RNA", at positions 1 to 435 of the family's 2925-position model. Lineage: Bacteria; Bacillati; Bacillota; Clostridia; Peptostreptococcales; Peptostreptococcaceae. The record is from RNAcentral.
GGUCAAGUUAUUAAGGGUGCAGGGCGGAUGCCUUGGCACUAGGAGCCGAUGAAGGACGUGAUAAGCUGCGAUAAGCUUCGGGGAGUUGCACGUAAACUUUGAUCCGAAGAUUUCCGAAUGAGGAAACUCACUUAGAGUAAUGUCUAAGUAUCAUUAAGUGAAUACAUAGCUUAAUGAGGGGAACUCAGGGAACUGAAACAUCUAAGUACCUGAAGGAAGAGAAAGAAAUUCGAUUCCGUAAGUAGCGGCGAGCGAACGCGGAUUAGCCCAAACCAAUAAAGUUUUCUUUAUUGGGGUUGCGGACAUAUCAUAACGAAGAGGUAUCGUAAUUGAAGAGGUUUGGAAAGACCCACCACAGAAGGUAAUAGUCCUGUAUGUUAAACGAGAAGACUUUAGAUAUGAUCCAGAGUACCACGGGACACGUGAAACCCU